Molecule: long non-coding RNA, 291 nt
Filed under: Polistes fuscatus (common paper wasp)
Lineage: Eukaryota; Metazoa; Arthropoda; Insecta; Hymenoptera; Vespidae
Description: uncharacterized LOC122518178, transcript variant X1
Source: RNAcentral
UUCAGGUCAGUUUAUUACCAAGCUCGAUCGAGAGAUAUAAUCUUAUACUCUUCGCGAGAUAUAAAUAAUUAGUAAGCUUCCUCGGUUUGAAAUAACACGUGCUAAAUCUCUCACCACGGUUUUCUUACUUCAUACCUUUUAAAAUCGCGUUUAUAACAGGUAGGUGAAUUGAAGCGUGUUGCAUCGAUGCACUGGGAUUAUUAACAGUCUGGAUUAAGCGGUAGGUACUUAGUAAACGCGUUUAGUUUAAUAUAUAUAAACUAUCAAAUGCGCAAGAUUGUGUAAGAGGAG